RNAcentral lists this unclassified non-coding RNA (319 nucleotides) under Basidiomycota sp. Its description in RNAcentral is "partial contains small subunit ribosomal RNA, internal transcribed spacer 1, and 5.8S ribosomal RNA". The stretch from base 1 to 47 matches the Rfam family "Eukaryotic small subunit ribosomal RNA", at positions 1785 to 1831 of the family's 1831-position model. The record is from RNAcentral. Lineage: Eukaryota; Fungi; Basidiomycota.
AAAGUCGUAACAAGGUUUCCGUAGGUGAACCUGCGGAAGGAUCAUUAUCGAAUAAAACUUGAACGGGUUGUUGCUGGCUCCUUGGGGCAUGUGCACACUUGUCAUUUUUAUUUCAUUUCUCCUCUGUGCACCAACUGUAGGUCUGGAGCUUCUUGAAAUCCUUUGGUUUUUCGAUAGAGGACUGCUGUCUCCUUUUGAAAAGGUCAGCUUUGCCUCACAUCUUCCAGAUCUAUGUUUUUACAAUCUCUCAAUGUGUUUUGGAAUGUCAAAUUUGAUGUAUACAUACAUACAACUUUCAGCAACGGAUCUCUUGGCUCUC